UGGGGAAUAUUGCGCAAUGGGCGAAAGCCUGACGCAGCAACGCCGCGUGAGUGAUGAAGGCCUUCGGGUCGUAAACCCCUGUCGAAUGGGACGAAAGACUCACGAGUGAAUACUUCGCGAGAGUGACGGUACCGUUAAAGGAAGCCACGGCUAACUCUGUGCCAGCAGCCGCGGUAAUACAGAGGUGGCAAGCGUUGUUUGGAAUUACUGGGCGUAAAGGGCGCGUAGGCGGCCCUCUAAGUCAGACGUGAAAUCCCCCGGCUUAACCUGGGAACUGCGUCUGAUACUGGAGGGCUUGAGUAUGGGAGAGGGAUGUAGAAUUCCAGGUGUAGCGGUGAAAUGCGUAGAUAUCUGGAGGAAUACCGGUGGCGAAGGCGGCAUCCUGGACCAUUACUGACGCUGAGGCGCGAAAGCUAGGGGAGCAAACGGGAUUAGAUACCCGAGUAGUCCCUGAGCGGGCUGGCAAGGCGCAU
This 473-nucleotide ribosomal RNA is filed under the name uncultured bacterium. RNAcentral's name for it is "bacterial SSU rRNA". It matches the Rfam family "Bacterial small subunit ribosomal RNA", at positions 355 to 825 of the family's 1533-position model. The record is from RNAcentral.